AGCUUUGCACAGUGGCAGUAUCGUAGCCAAUGAGGUUUAUCCGAGGCACGAUUAUUGCUAAGAAUGUUUAAAGAACAAUUGGCAAGAUAGGAUCUAGUUUAUAAACUAUUAUAAACUAAAUAUAUAUAACAUGUAUUAUAAAUAU
This is a small nuclear RNA of Talpa occidentalis (Iberian mole), 145 nucleotides long. RefSeq annotates it as U4 spliceosomal RNA. NCBI's taxonomy places the organism in Eukaryota, Metazoa, Chordata, Mammalia, Eulipotyphla, Talpidae. The record is from RefSeq and is a predicted model, not a curated record. The transcript has a single exon.